GGCCGCCUGGCGUAAUGGCAGCGCGUCUGACUACGAUGUGAUGUUAUCAGGAGGUUGCAGGUUCGAUCCCUGCGGUGGUCA
Sphaerobolus stellatus SS14 is the source of this 81-nucleotide transfer RNA. It matches the Rfam family "tRNA". Rfam says of the family: Transfer RNA (tRNA) molecules are approximately 80 nucleotides in length. Their secondary structure includes four short double-helical elements and three loops (D, anti-codon, and T loops). Further hydrogen bonds mediate the characteristic L-shaped molecular structure. tRNAs have two regions of fundamental functional importance: the anti-codon, which is responsible for specific mRNA codon recognition, and the 3' end, to which the tRNAs corresponding amino acid is attached (by aminoacyl-tRNA synthetases). tRNAs cope with the degeneracy of the genetic code in two manners: having more than one tRNA (with a specific anti-codon) for a particular amino acid; and 'wobble' base-pairing, i.e. permitting non-standard base-pairing at the 3rd anti-codon position. The record is from Rfam. NCBI's taxonomy places the organism in Eukaryota, Fungi, Basidiomycota, Agaricomycetes, Geastrales, Sphaerobolaceae.